This 125-nucleotide small RNA is filed under the name Salmonella enterica subsp. enterica serovar Infantis. RNAcentral describes it as "partial RtT sRNA". It matches the Rfam family "RtT RNA", at positions 39 to 130 of the family's 130-position model. Rfam says of the family: This family represents a bacterial cis-regulatory element known as RtT RNA. The record is from RNAcentral. Lineage: Bacteria; Pseudomonadati; Pseudomonadota; Gammaproteobacteria; Enterobacterales; Enterobacteriaceae.
AGGUUCGAAUCCUGCACGACCCACCAAUCGUUCGGUGGAAACGAGAAUAAAGCGUGAAGGAUAACGUUGCGUCAGCAACGGCCCGUAGGGCGAGGCGAAGCCGAGUCAUCCUGCACGACCCACCA